CCUACGGGAGGCAGCAGUGGGGAAUAUUGGACAAUGGGCGAAAGCCUGAUCCAGCAAUGCCGCGUGAGUGAUGAAGGCCUUCGGGUCGUAAAGCUCUUUUACCAGGGAUGAUAAUGACAGUACCUGGAGAAUAAGCUCCGGCUAACUCCGUGCCAGCAGCCGCGGUAAUACGGAGGGAGCUAGCGUUGUUCGGAAUUACUGGGCGUAAAGAGUACGUAGGCGGUUAUUCAAGUCAGAGGUGAAAGCCCGGGGCUCAACCCCGGAACUGCCUUUGAAACUAGAUAACUAGAGUCUUGGAGAGGUUAGUGGAAUUCCGAGUGUAGAGGUGAAAUUCGUAGAUAUUCGGAAGAACACCAGUGGCGAAGGCGACUAACUGGACAAGUACUGACGCUGAGGUACGAAAGCGUGGGGAGCAAACAGGAUUAGAUACCCUGGUAGUCCACGCCGUAAACGAUGAUAACUAGUUGUUCGGUCACUUGGUGACUGAGUGACGCAGCUAACGCAUUAAGUUAUCCGCCUGGGGAGUACGGUCGCAAGAUUAAAACUCAAAAUGAAUUGACGG
RNAcentral lists this ribosomal RNA (562 nucleotides) under uncultured bacterium. RNAcentral describes it as "bacterial SSU rRNA". It matches the Rfam family "Bacterial small subunit ribosomal RNA", at positions 338 to 916 of the family's 1533-position model. The record is from RNAcentral.